GGGGGAAUAGCUCAAAGGCUGAGCAAUAGGCUGUUAACCUAUCCGAUCUGAGUUCAAAUCUCAGUUCCCCCUCCA
Molecule: transfer RNA, 75 nt
Filed under: Bacteroidales bacterium
Lineage: Bacteria; Pseudomonadati; Bacteroidota; Bacteroidia; Bacteroidales
Description: tRNA-Asn
Rfam family: tRNA
About the family: Transfer RNA (tRNA) molecules are approximately 80 nucleotides in length.
Source: RNAcentral